This 219-nucleotide ribosomal RNA is filed under the name uncultured bacterium. RNAcentral describes it as "partial 16S ribosomal RNA". It matches the Rfam family "Bacterial small subunit ribosomal RNA", at positions 524 to 742 of the family's 1533-position model. The record is from RNAcentral.
UACGUAGGGUGCGAGCGUUAAUCGGAAUUACUGGGCGUAAAGCGUGCGCAGGCGGUCUGUUAAGACCGAUGUGAAAUCCCCGGGCUUAACCUGGGAACUGCAUUGGUGACUGCAUCGCUCGAGUAUGGGCAGGGGGGGUAGAAUUCCACGUGUAGCAGUGAAAUGCGUAGAGAUGUGGAGGAAUACCGAUGGCGAAGGCAGCCCCCUGGGUCAAUACUG